GAUGAACGCUAGCGGCAGGCUUAAUACAUGCAAGUCGAGGGGCAGCAGGUUUGUAGCAAUACAGAUGCUGGCGACCGGCAAACGGGUGCGGAACACGUACAGAACCUUCCUUCGAGCGGGGAAUAGCCCAGAGAAAUUUGGAUUAAUACCCCAUAGCAUUAUGGAGUGGCAUCACUUUAUAAUUAAAGAUUAUCACUUGAGAUGGCUGUGCGGCUGAUUAGAUAGUUGGUGAGGUAACGGACUCACCAAGUCUACGAUCAGUAACUGGUGUGAGAGCACGACCAGUCACACGGGCACUGAGACACGGGCCCGGACUCCUACGGGAGGCAGCAGUAAGGAAUAUUGGUCAAUGGACGCAAGUCUGAACCAGCCAUGCCGCGUGGAGGAUGAAGGUCCUCUGGAUUGUAAACUUCUUUUAUAUGGGACGAAAAAGGGUCUUUUCUAAGUCAACUGACGGUACCAUAUGAAUAAGCA
Molecule: ribosomal RNA, 474 nt
Filed under: uncultured bacterium
Lineage: Bacteria
Description: bacterial SSU rRNA
Rfam family: Bacterial small subunit ribosomal RNA
Source: RNAcentral